Oncorhynchus keta (chum salmon) is the source of this 1137-nucleotide long non-coding RNA. RefSeq lists it as uncharacterized. The transcript has 2 exons. The record is from RefSeq and is a predicted model, not a curated record. NCBI's taxonomy places the organism in Eukaryota, Metazoa, Chordata, Actinopteri, Salmoniformes, Salmonidae.
AUAAGGCAGAACAGUUGAAACUGGAGCAGCAGCACAGUCAGGUGGACUGGGGCAUUGUGUCAGGUAGUCCUGGGGCACGGUCCUAGGGCUCAGGUCCUCCGAGAGAGAGAAAGAAAGAGAGAAUUAGAGAGAGCAUAUGUGGGGUGGCCAGUCCUCUUCUGGCUGUGCCGGGUGGAGAUUAUAACAGAACGUGGCCAAGAUGUUCAAAUGUUCAUAAAUGACCAGCAUGGUUGAAUAAUAGUAAGGCAGAACAGUUGAAACUGGAGCAGGAGCAUGGCCAGGUGGACUGGGGACAGCAAGGAGUCCUCAUGUCAGGUAGUCCUGGGACAUGGUCCUAGGGCCCAGGCCAGUUGAAACUGGAGCAGCAGCAUGGCCAGGUGGACUGGGGACAGCAAGGAGUCAUCAUGUCAGGUAGUCCUGGGGCAUGGUCCUAGGGCUCAGGUCCUCCGAGAGAGAGAGAAAGAAAGAGAGAAUUAGAGAGAGCAUAUGUGGGGUGGCCAGUCCUCUUUUGGCUGUGCCGGGUGGAGAUUAUAACAGAACGUGGCCAAGAUGUUCAAAUGUUCAUAAAUGACCCAGCAUGGUUGAAUAAUAGUAAGGCAGAACAGUUGAAACUGGAGCAGGAGCAUGGCCAGGUGGACUGGGGACAGCAAGGAGUCCUCAUGUCAGGUAGUCCUGGGACAUGGUCCUAGGGCCCAGGCCAGUUGAAACUGGAGCAGCAGCAUGGCCAGGUGGACUGGGGACAGCAAGGAGUCAUCAUGUCAGGUAGUCCUGGGGCAUGGUCCUAGGGCUCAGGUCCUCCGAGAGAGAGAGAAAGAAAGAGAGAAGGAGAGAAUUAGAGAACGCACACUUAGAUUCACACAGGACACCGAAUAGGACAGGAGAAGUACUCCAGAUAUAACAAACUGACCCUAGCCCCCCGACACAUAAACUACUGCAGCAUAAAUACUGGAGGCUGAGACAGGAGGGGUCAGGAGACACUGUGGCCCCAUCCGAGGACACCCCCGGACAGGGCCAAACAGGAAGGAUAUAACCCCACCCACUUUGCCAAAGCACAGCCCCCACACCACUAGAGGGAUAUCUUCAACCACCAACUCACCAUCCUGAGACAAGGCCGAGUAUAGCCCACAAAGAUCUCCG